This 460-nucleotide ribosomal RNA is filed under the name uncultured bacterium. RNAcentral's name for it is "partial 16S ribosomal RNA". It matches the Rfam family "Bacterial small subunit ribosomal RNA", at positions 338 to 795 of the family's 1533-position model. The record is from RNAcentral.
CCUACGGGUGGCAGCAGUGAGGAAUAUUGGUCAAUGGGCUUACGCCUGAACCAGCCAAGUCGCGUGAGGGAAGACUGCCCUAUGGGUUGUAAACCUCUUUUGUCAGGGAGCAACGCCGGCUACGUGUAGCCGGACUGAGAGGACCUGAAGAAAAAGCAGCGGCUAACUCCGUGCCAGCAGCCGCGGUAAUACGGAGGAUGCGAGCGUGAGCCGGAUUGAUUGGGUUGAAAGGGGGCGUAGGCGGAAUGCCAAGUCAGCGGUAAAAUCGCGGGGCUCAACCUCGCUCCGCCGUUGAAACUGGCGUUCUUGAGUGGGCGAGAAGUAUGCGGAAUGCGUGGUGUAGCGGUGCAAUGCAUAGCUAUCACGCAGAACUCCGAUUGCGAAGGCAGCAUACCGGCGCCCAACUGACGCUGAGGCACGAAAGCGUGGGUAUCGAACAGGAUUAGCUACCCUGGUAGUC